Molecule: ribosomal RNA, 253 nt
Filed under: uncultured bacterium
Lineage: Bacteria
Description: partial 16S ribosomal RNA
Rfam family: Bacterial small subunit ribosomal RNA
Source: RNAcentral
UACGUAGGGUGCGAGCGUUGUCCGGAAUUAUUGGGCGUAAAGGGCUCGUAGGCGGUCUGUCGCGUCGGGAGUGAAAACUCAGGGCUUAACCCUGGGCCUGCUUCCGAUACGGGCAGACUAGAGGUAUGCAGGGGAGAACGGAAUUCCUGGUGUAGCGGUGGAAUGCGCAGAUAUCAGGAGGAACACCGGUGGCGAAGGCGGUUCUCUGGGCAUUACCUGACGCUGAGGAGCGAAAGUGUGGGGAGCGAACAGG